RNA transcript from Octodon degus (degu), 2068 nucleotides. It is a transcript of the gene named abl interactor 1 pseudogene, with no coding region annotated. The record is from RefSeq and is a predicted model, not a curated record. The transcript has a single exon. Lineage: Eukaryota; Metazoa; Chordata; Mammalia; Rodentia; Octodontidae.
AUGGCAGAGCUGCAGAUGUUACUACAGGAGGAGAUCCCGUCUGGCAAGAGGACGCUCAUAGAGAGUUACCAAAAUCUGACCCGAGUGGCGGACUACUGUGAAAACAACUACAUACAGGCUACAGACAAGAGAAAAGCAUUAGAAGAGACCAAAGCAUAAACAACCCAAUCUCUAGCUAGUGUUGCUCAUCAAAUAAAUGCAUUGGCCAACAAUGUACUCCAGUUGCUGGACAUCCCUCCCCCCUUCGGAGAAUGGAAUCUUCCAUCAAUCAUAUCUCACAGACUGUGGAUAUUCAUAAAGAGAAAGUGGCUCGAAGAGAAAUUGGUAUUUUGACAACAAAUAAGAACACAUCAAGAACUCACAAAAUAAUAGCACCUGCAAAUAUGGAGCGCCCUGUAAGGUAUAUGCGGAAACCCAUUGACUACACAGUUCUGGAUGAUGUGGGCCAUGGUGUCAAGCAUGGAAAUAACCAGCCUGCAAGAACUGGCACACUGUCGAGAACAAAUCCUCCUACUCAGAAACCACCAAGCCCUCCUAUGUCAGGCCGGGGAACACUGGGGCGGAAUACUCCCUAUAAAACCCUGGAGCCUGUUAAACCCCCAACAGUUCCUAAUGAUUACAUGACCAGUCCUGCAAGACUUGGAAGUCAGCAUAGUCCAGGCAGGACAGCCUCUUUAAAUAAGAGACCAAGGACACACAGUGGAAGUAGUAGAAGAAGUGGAAGUCAAGAGAACAGUGGAAGCAGUAGCACUGACAUUCCCAUUGCUAUACCUACACCUUCUCCACCCACUGUUGGACCAGCAGCCGCGGGCUCAGCUCCUGGUUCCCAGUAUGGCACAAUGACCAGGCAGAUUUCUCCACACAACUCUACCACUUCUUUGACAUCUUCGGGUGGAUACAGACGGACUCCUUCUGUGACUGCUCAAUUUUCUGCUCAGCCUCAUGUUAAUGGAGGUCCAUUUUAUUCUCAAAAUUCAAUUUCUAUUGCUCCAUCCCCUCCCCAUAUGCCUCAAUUGACUCCACAGAUACCUUUCACAGGCUUCGUGGCCAGGGUGCAGGAAAACAUUGCUGAUAGCCCAACUCCGCCGUCACCACCUCCACCAGAUGACAUUCCCAUAUUUGAUGACUCUCCCCCUCCACCACCCCGCCCCCAGUGGACUAUGAAGAUGAGGAAGCUGCAGUAGUUCAAUAUAGUGACCCCUAUGCAGAUGGGGAUCCUACCUGGGCCCCCAAGAAUUAUAUUGAAAAAGUUGUUGCAAUAUAUGAUUAUACAAAAGACAAGGAUGAUGAGCUGUCCUUUAUGGAGGGUGCAGUCAUUUACAUGAUAAAGAAGAACGAUGAUGGCUGGUAUGAAGGAGUCUGCAAUCGAGUGACUGGUCUCUUCCCUGGAAACUAUGUUGAAUCAAUCAUGCACUAUACUGAUUAAUCUUUUUUUUUUUGCCUUUGAAGUAGAGUAUUACUCAUACUGCGGGACUAUUAUGGUUAACAGAGUUGUCUUAAUGUUCUAAAAUGUGCCCAUAUUUUCAGGACAUGCUGUCUAUUGGUAUAUUUGAAUGUCCACCUGUAAGCAUAAAUCUUUGUGGCAGUUUGUAUUUUGCUAAACAGCAAUUUAUACAAGGGGCUGCCCAUAAAUUAUUAUGCUUAUAUACUUCAACAUUGUUAACUUUAUGUCCAGCCUAAAUAUUCUGGGGAAGUGAGAUAUAUUUAACAAAUCAUGAUUUAGACUGUACCAUUACAUGUUUCAGUGCAGCAUGGUUACUAAUGCUAUGUCAGACUAAUAUUAAAAUCAGAAAACCUAAAUGCUGGUUCUGGUCAUACUUUUUGUUUAUAUUCUCUCAUUUUUAAAAACUGUUCAAAGCAUGCAUAAGAAUUUAUUAAAUGUACUUAAAAAUUCCAAGAUGCUUCCAAUUUAUGUACUACUUUCUGGAGUACUCAUAUUAGAUGAGUCGCUAAGGUCUUCUUGUGAAACAAACAAAAAAAUUAUCUUGUAAUGUUGUAAUUUGUAACUUAAGUUUUUUAAGGAGUGAAUUUGCAUUAUAAAUUUUUCCAUUCAUAAAUACAUAAGUGA